This is a non-coding RNA of Caretta caretta (loggerhead turtle), 390 nucleotides long. NCBI's taxonomy places the organism in Eukaryota, Metazoa, Chordata, Testudines, Cheloniidae. The record is from the annotation of a RefSeq genome assembly.
UGCCUCAGGAAGCCGAGCUCGUCUGGAUCCACCAUGGCCUGGGCUCCUCUGCUCCUCGCGCUGCUCACUUAUUGCUCAGGGGCCAGCUCACAGCCCACGCUGACCCAGCCGCCUUCGGACUCCGUGUCCCCGGGAACCACUGUGAAACUCUCCUGCACUCUGAGCAGUCAGCACAGCAGCUACAACGUUGGAUGGUACCAACAGAGAGACGGCCAGGCCCCUCGGUUCCUUUGGUACGGCUCUAGCACCAAAGGAGAUGGCGUCCCAGAUCGAUUCACUGUUUCCAGCUCCGGAGCCAUUCGCUAUUUAACCAUCACCAACCUCCAGCCAGAGGAUGAGGCGAUGUAUUACUGUGGUGCAGAUUAUGGCAGUGGUAGCAGCUAUGGGUAA